AACGAACGCUGGCGGCAUGCCUAACACAUGCAAGUCGAACGAGACCUUCGGGUCUAGUGGCGCACGGGUGCGUAACGCGUGGGAACCUGCCCUUAGGUUCGGAAUAACUCCCCGAAAGGGGUGCUAAUACCGGAUAAUGUCUUCGGACCAAAGGUUUAUCGCCUUUGGAUGGGCCUGGGUCGGAUUAGCUAGUUGUUAGGGUAAAAGCCUACCACGGCGACGAUCCAUAGCUGGUUUGAGAGGAUGAGCAGCCACACUGGGACUGAGACACGGCCCAGACUCCUACGGGAGGCAGCAGUGGGGAAUAUUGGACAAUGGGCGAAAGCCUGAUCCAGCAAUGCCGCGUGAGUGAUGAAGGCCUUAGGGUUGUAAAGCUCUUUUACCCGGGAUGAUAAUGACAGUACCGGGAGAAUAAGCUCCGGCUAACUCCGUG
Molecule: ribosomal RNA, 433 nt
Filed under: uncultured bacterium
Lineage: Bacteria
Description: partial 16S ribosomal RNA
Rfam family: Bacterial small subunit ribosomal RNA
Source: RNAcentral